This 253-nucleotide ribosomal RNA is filed under the name uncultured bacterium. RNAcentral's name for it is "partial 16S ribosomal RNA". It matches the Rfam family "Bacterial small subunit ribosomal RNA", at positions 524 to 776 of the family's 1533-position model. The record is from RNAcentral.
UACGUAGGUACCAAGCGUUGUUCGGAUUUACUGGGCGUAAAGGGCGCGUAGGCGGCGUGGUAAGUCACUUGUGAAAUCUCUGAGCUUAACUCAGAACGGCCAAGUGAUACUGCUGUGCUAGAGUGCAGAAGGGGCAAUCGGAAUUCUUGGUGUAGCGGUGAAAUGCGUAGAUAUCAAGAGGAACACCUGAGGUGAAGACGGGUUGCUGGGCUGACACUGACGCUGAGGCGCGAAAGCCAGGGGAGCAAACGGG